UAUGAAAAGGGUUGAAUGCCCAUUCGCAAAUGACCAACCUGCAGCUAUUUCUCAAUUUAUUUUAAUCAAAUUUAACUGCUUGCAGUUGUUUAGUUAAAUAAUUUGGUCAAGCAAUUUUUCUUCUUGAGCAUUAGCGGGAGGCCCGCACGGGUGAGUUCUGCAAAGUAAGCAGCGUCAACACUCGGCCAGCCUAUCACCCCUCCAUAAAUUCAUGCGCAUAGCAAUGUUAUGAGCGCGGCGGGCAGCUCCCACCACCCGCUUUGUUUUCCUUACUCAUUAGUUUAAGGCAGUUUGUAAUGUUGCCCCACUCUUCUCUUUUAAACACUUCACUUAGUUCCUUUCCUGCCAACUUCCGAUGCGGGACUAAAAAAUCCCUCAGUCGGCACCACAAGGGAAUUUCGAUGUGCCUUCUCACCCAGCAGGAGUUCCUCCGCGCCACCGCCCUCGCCGCUGAGCGAGUAAGACUCUUCGCCGAAUCCAUCCCCGCCCUGGACGAGGUUUUCGCCAAGUUCGUCACCAUGUACCCCGAAGUACCAGUCCUCCAGCCAAAUCGACGACCUCCGCCGCGACGAGCACUGCCACCUCGCCGCGCCGACGCCCGGGUUUGCCUCGACUUCUGCGGCUUCAAACACGGCCGAGUACGACGUCAAGAGUUCUGGCGAUUCCCGAGGACUCUCCUCCGGCGCUCCUGGUCAAGAAUCUCUACCUCUCCUGCGAUGCCUACAUACGCGGCAGCAUGGCCAAGCACGACUCGCCUAGCUACGUCCCCGACUUCACUCCCGGCUCUGUACGCGCGCACAUCGCAACCCUAAAAUCGACUCGAUUUCUGUGAUAAUAGUCGAAGGAGAUUCGAUUUCAUGUUUCUACUUUGUUCGAAGGUGAUUACUGGCUUUGGAGUGAGUAGUGGUGGAAUCCACGCAUCCCGAUUUCAUGGUCGGUGAUCUGAUUACAGCCUUAUCGUCUCUGAUUUGGGGAGUUUCUUCAAGAUCAGAUACACGAACUUGCCCCUUUCUUACAAUACCGGUCUUUUAGGUAAACUUUUACGUCUUAAAUUGUUCCUCGUGACCUUUCCAUGCAUCUGAUCUGCAUUGGCUAAUUUUUAUGAUUUGUGAGGUUAAACUGAAGGAAUGGCGCAAAACUGGAUGAGAACUACAUCCCAUUAGAUUGCUCCAAGGUCUAACUUUGCAGUGUGCAUCCAUUCAUCUGAUUAACUCCAUUUGUUCUUCAAUGUUGCUUGAGAUUCAUUCAUUCCACAGAAUCAGACAAAUCCUUCUCAUUUUUCAUUGUUGAUUUCGUGGUUUCAAAUGCUUGGUCAUUAACAUAACAUUGAUGAUUCAACAAAGAACUUGCAUAACUAUUUGAAUUCAGUUUUUAAAAAUGUAUGCAGAUAUGUAGAUCCUUCUCGUACUUAAAUCAUCCAACUUGAAUGCAACCUAAAAUGGUUUUUUCUUUCUCGUUGUUGAUGAUGUGGUAAAUAAUGCCUACACUGAAUUAAAAUCCUAGCUUCGCCCCUACUGACGCAGAUGCUACGAGAUAUCUGGCAAUUGCUGGACAUGUAAUCAAUUCUUAUCCUUCGAUUCCUUUAUUGCUUUAGCUUGAAUUCCAGAGUAGCUGCUAUUGUCUUUAUGAAAUUUCUGAGCUAUGGUUGUAUAAAAAGUUAAUUCUUAUUUAUAAAAAUUCUCCAAAUACAUUGAAAUGAAUUAAAUUAUCUUUUGUACUUUAGGUAAUAUUUUCUUUUUGUCAUUUGCUAGCCAUCUUAAGUAUUAAGAAUUAAUUAUAGGGAGUUAUAUUCACAAAUGCAUAUUUUUUUUCAUGGGUAACCCUUUCAUUGCAAUUUAUAAUCUAUUUAUUAGUUGCAUUAUCAAAAACUAGAAAAUUGAAGAUACUUAGAACAUUGUGCGUGUGUGUGUGCGCGCGCGCGCAUUUUCAAUUUUUUAAAAAGAAUUCUUUGGUUUGAUCUAUUAAACAUGCUUUUAAUUUUAAAAUUAGAAACUGAAAUCCACUUUUUUUUUUUCAAAAUUAUGUUCACUGAAUAUGGAAAUUUUAUUUUGUUUUUACUUGUAUGGAUCUAAAUUGUUUGUAAUCAACUCUCAAACUGAAUUUGAACUCGAAUGUUAGAUGAUUAGUCAUAUUGUAUGGAUCUAAUUCCUAUUUUGUUUUUACUUGUUACUUUUAUUGUUAAAAGUGACUAUAUUAUAGGGAGUUUAUAUGUUCCUACAUUUGUUUCCCUAUAGCUGAUAAGUAGUUCACAUUGACUCAGUGAGAUAUAUGAAAUCACUUCUUUAUACAUGGUUGUUAAUUUUUUUUUGUCAUAUUGUUGGGAGCUUAUAAUUUGUUCCUUCCAAUGUUUCCAAUUAUUUGUACAUUUGAAAAGUAUUUUUUAUAUUUUUGUAGAUAGAACUUAGAAGUAUGACAUCCCUUGAUAACAUUUGAACUAGAUUAUCUAAACCUAAACAAAAGUCUGCAUAUAUAAUUUUUAUACUCAAGCACACUUAACUUUCUAAUUGGUGCUUGCUUUCUUCAAAUGACUUUGGAGGAUUCUUGCAACCAUCACAUUUGUUAAGUGGUAUGUAGUUAUGGCCAUAGCCUCUACGUGGUUUAAGCUAGGAUAGUUUUCAUUCAAGCCGACUUGGAUUCUUGCAACCAUCAGAAUGGAUCCUUCCCCGGGACCCUGCAUAGCGGGAGCUUCGUGCACCGAGCUAUCCUUUUUUUUUUCUAUAGUUCUAAUCAAAAUACAAUUGUCUCUAUUAAAAAUGCUAUUAUACUAACUAUCAAACAUAGACUAAUUUGGCAUGUUAUCAUCACAACUGUCCAAGGGUUGGACUCCUCUUUGAUAUGCUCGCCCCCCACCCCAAUCACAUUCUCUUUGUAUUCACCCUUUCUACAACCUACUGUAAAUUUUCUGUCUUUUGCACUAUUUAACUGGUUUGGAUUAUCAAAGUGCUUUUUGUCCAGUUUCUUAUAACCAUCUAACUUGAGGUUUUAUUUAGGACUAAUUCUAAUGUGGAAAAGUAGAAAUUACCAAACUUGCUAAACUUCUUGCAGACCUUUGUAUUAUAGUUAUCUUACUUUGUAUAUUUAAUCACUAACUUUAUAUUUAAUCACUAACUUUAGAUCACUAGUCAAGGCAACUUGUUAAAGCGACUAAUUAAGAAUUCUUUAUCUAUAGUAAGAAAGCUUUUCUAAUUGUGGAAAUAAUUGUUUAAUGUCAAUGAAUUAAGAGUCACUGAUUACUUUGUCAAGAAUGGUGGUAGCAAAGAACAUAAGCAAAUGCUUAGCAUUGUAAAAUUAGUACAACUAUAAGUGUAGUAGUAAUAUCAGAAAACAUCCACACAAUAGGAAUUAAAGCAACCAUUUCUCCAGAUUGCAAGCACAUCACAUUAACACACUCCUGUUUUCUUCUUCCAGCCCUACAGGAGUUGAGUAAAGGUGAAGCUUUUUCCCUGUUACAAGAGCAAAAGGCAGCAUGUGGUGCUAACUGCUAACCAUCUUCCUCAUGUUAUUGCAUGUGAUGAUAGCACUACAAAAUGUAUCCAGACUAUUAAAAGAAAGCCUAUUCUCUGUCAAACAUUAAUAUGCUUUAAGCAAAGUGAGGGUAUGCUUGAGUUUGCCAUAGAGAAAGGUCUUUAUUAUGCGGGGUGUGCUGAGGUAGUCGAUUAGGAACUACUCAUGUAUAUGCAAUUAUGCAUUUGUACUCUUCCUGCUUUAGGCUUCAGCCUUUAAUGUUGUUUCUGUUUGGUAUGUACUUCUCCUGCCCCAUCCUUCCUAAUAGCUAUCACCUUCCAAAGGUUUAGUGGAAUCUGAGGAGAAGCAUGAACACAAAAUUUAUUCUAUGAUACCAUCAAGAUCAACUGCCCCAACAGAUGCUACGGGAGAUGUGGCAAUUGCUGGACAUGCAAUCAGUUCUUAUCCUUCGAUUCCUUCACUGCUUUAGCUGGAAUUGCUGAGCUAUGGUUGUUAUGGGAGAGUGAAAAAGAGCAAGAGUUCAUGGCGAAUCAACAAUGAAAAGAGAAACUUGGCCUGCUAUGAUCAGAUCAAUCCAAAACCUGAAGAAU
Long non-coding RNA from Zingiber officinale, 4055 nucleotides. RefSeq lists it as uncharacterized. Lineage: Eukaryota; Viridiplantae; Streptophyta; Magnoliopsida; Zingiberales; Zingiberaceae. The record is from RefSeq and is a predicted model, not a curated record. The transcript has 3 exons.